This 71-nucleotide transfer RNA is filed under the name Heterocephalus glaber (naked mole-rat). It matches the Rfam family "tRNA". Rfam says of the family: Transfer RNA (tRNA) molecules are approximately 80 nucleotides in length. Their secondary structure includes four short double-helical elements and three loops (D, anti-codon, and T loops). Lineage: Eukaryota; Metazoa; Chordata; Mammalia; Rodentia; Bathyergidae. The record is from Rfam by way of RNAcentral.
GGAGAUAUGGCUCAGUGGUAGAGCAUUUGCCUGCUAUGCAUGAAGGCCUGGAUUCAAUCCACGUAAAUGCA